Teleopsis dalmanni is the source of this 1366-nucleotide long non-coding RNA. RefSeq lists it as uncharacterized. The record is from RefSeq and is a predicted model, not a curated record. The transcript has 6 exons. Lineage: Eukaryota; Metazoa; Arthropoda; Insecta; Diptera; Diopsidae.
UAGAUGUAUAUUUCAAAAUUUAAAAUUCGCAGUUAAGGUUAGUCUUCUAAAUUUAUAAUUGCCAAUAUGUAUGAAUAUUCAGAAUCUGAAGAAUCUGAAAACGAGCAAUACGAAAAUGUAACCGAUACUAAGCAAAAGAGCCUUCUAUUUUUCAUUGCCGCAGUAACAGCUAUUCAUAUUGCGCCGUUUAUCUUCAACAAGCUAAAUUUGGCAUAAGUCUGGAGUUGUUUUCAUAAAAUAGGAGUUUAUAUAUAGAAUUUCAAGCAAACGCAUUCUUCACCUGCCUUACGUAUCAAUACGGUCUAUGAUUCGUUAUAUUGUUAAUGAUGCAGUUAUGAGAGAAAUAAAUGGAACUAAACGAAUGGAGUAUGUUGUCUUUCUCCAUAGCUAUACGAUUGUGAUAUUCCUAAGUAGAAAGCAAAUGGUUGGAUUUGUUGGCCGUAGAGAUUAAAUUGGAACUAUUAUCAGCUGAACUGCAGAUAAGAAAAUUAUUUUAGGAGUAAGGACCGUUGGAUUUCGUAUAUUGUCAACGAUCAAGUGACGUGCUGUGAAGCAGAACACUAUAAAAAACACUUAACGAUCCAUUAGAAAGUCGCAGUAAAUAUAAAUCCACUGUAAUAUUAACAUCAAUAAUGACAAAUUACCCUUGAUGAGAACGCCGUCAAUAAUUGAGGUGUAAGUGGUUGUUAAAAGGCAUUGUUACUAUAAAGUGUAUUACACCAGACCUCUUGACUUCUACUUGCCCCUUGAUUUUGGAAUGGAGUCAUGCGGUGAUGGAGUGAUGAAGUGAUGGAAUGUAUAAUUUUUAAGAAAAGUAGUGAAAUGCUGUGACUAAACAGAAAUGACUAUUCUACAAAUCUCUAGCAAAACCAGCUUAAAAUUAGAUCAAAUUAUCACCAUAUGGACAAUACUGGAUUAAUGAAACAAGUUUCUAUAUCUACAUAAAAGGCCAUGAGUAUACUGCAGACAUUUGUUUACCCAAUCAAACAAUGACAGAUUCGGAAAAUAUAGUUCCACUUAGAGGUUAAUGUAGGCAAACGAAAGUUACAAACAUUGGAUAUGAUAACUAAGUUGAUUCGUAAUUAUAAACUGAUGGUUCAAUUGUUAAACACGUUGAAAGUUUUACUUACUUUACAAACGCAGUGAUUGCCUACUGCAGGACGGACCAGGAUACAAUGACAUUGGAAUUUUAAUAUAUGGCCGUCAUCGGAAUUGCUUCUAGAGUAUUGAGUUGAAAAAUAGUGUAGAAGAUAAAAAGACGGAGUUGGCAUUAAAAUAAUUACUUACAACCCAUAUUUGCAUGUACCGAAUUUAAUAGACAUUUUCAUCAUCUUUGGCAAAUAAAGUUAUUUUCGGCAAUUAAAAA